This 897-nucleotide long non-coding RNA is filed under the name Oryza brachyantha (malo sina). RNAcentral describes it as "long non-coding RNA (OBRA_LNC002351)". Lineage: Eukaryota; Viridiplantae; Streptophyta; Magnoliopsida; Poales; Poaceae. The record is from RNAcentral.
GAGUCCGACGGAAGACGCGGCGCCGUCGAUCUCCUAUCCCCCUGCCGCCGUAGCCGAGAUGAAGGCAACGGUUUGUACGAUAGUCUACUGUCUCCUAUUGCUGCGGAUCGGAGGAUUCCCGAGAUGGACAGAGGCGGUGGCACGGCCGGAACCGGAAGGGAAGUGAGCGAGGAAGAAGCAAGGGUGGAAUUCGACAUCGCCGCCGAUCUCGUGGUACGGAGAGUGACAGCGACGAGCCCUCCUCCUGUGAUUCCGAUGAUUCCGGGGACAGGAAGUGCAUGCAGGAAGAGAUGAAGAAGUCACAAGGGUUUGAAGGAAAGUGAGAGAUCAUCGAGGAAGAAGAGGAACUGAGGAAGAGAGAUGGAUCGAGGAGGAGGAGGAGCAAGCGAACGUGAGCGGCCAUUGGCAAGGUCGGCGACGAGACCACCAAGGAGGAGGCCCGGUCCAAGGAGACGAUAGUCAAAUGCGUGGAAGGAGCCAGAGCCGGAGCCCGGGAGGACGAUGCGGGAGAGCAAGGUCAGUGACGACCUCAGGCGCCUCGCCGACUCUGACCACGAUCCGUCGUCUCCGUUCGCUGAUAUGUAACCCUGAUCAUUGCGUUUCUCUUUCUUUAGGUCGAUUUGAUCUUAUUCUUGAUGCUGAUCAGUUUUUGAAUGGAUCGACACUGCUUAGUAGUUAGUUCAUCAGCAAAUUUUUGGUCGUCCAAAGAUAUGUCAUUUCAAGCUGACGCAUCCAAAGUCCUGCCAAACGAACGAUUUGACCCUUGUUCUUGAUCGGAAUCUAUCGACAUUAUCCGGUUCAAUCGAUCAUUACAAGAAGAUUUGGGCAAAGAAAAUCAGGAAUCGUUCUGGGAACGCAUGUUUGCGAGUUAGUUGCGUGCAAGCCCUCGUGUUUUAC